CCCUCCGUAGCUCAGUGGUUUAGAGCGUCUGGCUGUAGCCCGGAAGAUCCCCAGUUCGAUUCUGGGCGGGGGGA
Molecule: transfer RNA, 74 nt
Filed under: Nanobdellota archaeon
Lineage: Archaea; Nanobdellati; Nanobdellota
Description: tRNA-Tyr
Rfam family: tRNA
About the family: Transfer RNA (tRNA) molecules are approximately 80 nucleotides in length. Their secondary structure includes four short double-helical elements and three loops (D, anti-codon, and T loops).
Source: RNAcentral